UACGUAGGGUGCGAGCGUUGUCCGGAAUUACUGGGCGUAAAGAGCUCGUAGGCGGUUUGUCGCGUCUGCUGUGAAAACGCGGGGCUCAACUCCGCGCCUGCAGUGGGUACGGGCAGACUAGAGUGCAGUAGGGGAGACUGGAAUUCCUGGUGUAGCGGUGGAAUGCGCAGAUAUCAGGAGGAACACCGGUGGCGAAGGCGGGUCUCUGGGCCGUAACUGACGCUGGAGGAGCGAAAGCGUGGGGGAGCGAACAGG
This 255-nucleotide ribosomal RNA is filed under the name uncultured bacterium. RNAcentral's name for it is "partial 16S ribosomal RNA". It matches the Rfam family "Bacterial small subunit ribosomal RNA", at positions 524 to 776 of the family's 1533-position model. The record is from RNAcentral.